AGCGAACGCUGGCGGCGUGCCUAACACAUGCAAGUCGAACGUGAAAGGGAGCAAUCCCAAGUAAAGUGGCGUACGGGUGAGUAACACGUAGGUAAUCUACCCCAGAAUCUGGAAUAACCGGCCGAAAGGCUGGCUAAUACUGGAUAGAGCGACGGAAUCCGUAAUUGGGUUUUUCGGGAAAGGGAGCCUGUAAAAAGGCCUUCGUUCUGGGAUGAGCCUGCGUCCCAUCAGCUAGUUGGUGAGGUAAAAGCUUACCAAGGCAAUGACGGGUAGCUGGUCUGAGGAGACGGUCCGCCACCCUUGGACUGAAACACGGUCCAGGCUCCCUCGGGAGGCAGCAGUGGGGAAUCUUGCGCAAUGGACGAAAGUCUGACGCAGCAACGCCGCGUGAGUGAAGAAGGCCUUCGGGUUGUAAAGCUCUGUCGAGUGGGACGAAAAUGCUUGGAGUUCACAGCUCCAGGAACUGACGGUACCACUAAAGGAAGCACCGGCUAACUCCGUG
This 502-nucleotide ribosomal RNA is filed under the name uncultured bacterium. RNAcentral's name for it is "partial 16S ribosomal RNA". It matches the Rfam family "Bacterial small subunit ribosomal RNA", at positions 29 to 507 of the family's 1533-position model. The record is from RNAcentral.